This 1806-nucleotide ribosomal RNA is filed under the name Triticum aestivum (bread wheat). RNAcentral's name for it is "partial small subunit ribosomal RNA". Lineage: Eukaryota; Viridiplantae; Streptophyta; Magnoliopsida; Poales; Poaceae. The record is from RNAcentral.
AUGAGCGUCCCGGCCCCGGCCCCGGCGGCCACCCUCCGCCACUGGAACCGCCUGAUCCAGCUGGCCGCCGCGUCCGGCUCCUACACCCUCUGCCUCCGGCACUACGCCUCGCUCCUCGCCGCGGGCCUCCGCGGCGGCGACGCCUCCACCUUCCCUUCCCUCGCCAAGUCCUGCGCCGCGCUCCGCCUCCCGCGCCUCGGCCGCUCCAUCCACGCGCACGCCCUCGUCGCCGGCGCCGUCGGCGACGUCUUCGUCCGCACCUCGCUGCUCGACUUCUACGCCAAGUGCGCGUUCCUCCCCGACGCGCGCCGCCUGUUCGACGAAAUGCCCACCACCAGCCGGACCCUCGUGUCCUGGAACUGCAUGGUCACCGCGUACAGCAAGGCUUCUCGUCUCGACAAGGCCGUCGCCAUGUUCAACGCGAUGCGGGGCCUAGGGGUGAGCCCCAGCGGGGGCACGCUCGUCGGCAUGCUGUCGGGGUGCCUGGACUCAAUGGCCACGAGAAACCUUGGCCUGUGCGUGUAUGGAUAUAGCCUCAAGUCUGGGCUCGACGCGGAUUUGCCAGUCUCCAACUCAGUGCUCACCAUGCUUGUCCGUCAUGGCCAGCUGCAUGCCGCGUCUUUCUUGUUUGACUCUAUGCACGACAAGACUGUAGUUUCUUGGAGCGCAAUGGCGUCGGGGUUCUUGCAGACGGGCGACUUUAACAAAGUGUUUGCUCUGCUCAACCGCAUGCAGGGUGCUGGGCACAGAUUUGAUUUGAUCGCGCUGGUUAAUCUCGUCUCAGCUGCUGCUCUGUUAGGGAAUCUGUUGGUGGCCAAGGGCGUGCAUGCUCUUCUCAUCAAGAGCGGUUUUGAAUCCGAGCAAGAUCUUGUGCCAUCAUUGGUUAACUUAUAUGCCAAGUGUGGGGAUCUUGAGGCUGCUCAGGAGGUCUUCGAUGCAGUUCACUGCAAGAAUGUAGUGCUUUGGACUUCAAUGAUACAUGGAUAUGUUGAAGGUAGCCGCCCAGACAAGGCCUUGACAAUGUUUGAUAGCAUGUUGCGCACAGAUGUGCAGCCAAAUGUGACAACAGUUUCAUCAGUUCUUUCUGCCUGUGCUGAUUUGGGGUCUGCUAAUCAUGCGAGAAAGGUUGAGGAGCAUGUGGUGGCAAUCGGACUGCAGUCACACCUGCGGGUCGCUACCGGACUGAUAGACGCAUACUGCAAGUGUGGGAGCGUUGAGCUGGCUAGGAAAAUAUUUGAUGCGGUUACCGAUAGAGACUUACCUAUCUGGAGUGCCAUGAUUAAUGGAUAUGCUUGCAACGGAGAAGGCAGUGAAGCUCUCAUCCUUUUCAGCGAGAUGCAAAAAGAAGGUGUUCAACCAGAUGCCAUUGUCUUUACCCAUCUGUUAACAGCAUGCAAUUAUUCUGGUUUAAUAGAUGAAGGCCUUAGGUGUUUUCGCAGCAUGACAGAGGAAUAUGGUAUUGAACCAUCUAUUGAGCACUAUAUGUGCAUAACUGAUUUGCUAUGUAAGUCUGGUCAAAUUAGUAUAGCUAAGGAGUUCUUUAAGAAGAUCCCUGUUCAGUUACAGAAUCAGGUUUUGGCUCCUAUAGUAAGUGCAUACAGUUCUCAUUGUGCCGAUUCUUCGAUGGAUUCAGUAUCAGAGGAAUUACUUAACCUGGACCCUCAAGAUUCUGGUCACUGUGUCUUAGUGUCUAAUAUGCUCAGUUGUUUGGGGAAUUGGAAGAAGGCGGCAACCUAUAGGACGCUACUAAACAAGAAAGGUUUGGUCAAGGAACCUGGAAGGAGUUGUAUUGAACUGAGUGCUUAA